GACGAACGCUGGCGGCGUGCUUAACACAUGCAAGUCGAGCGGUAAGGCCCUUUCGGGGUACGACGAGCGGCGAACGGGUGAGUAACACGUGGGUGGACCUCGCCCUCCAGCUCUGGGAUAAGCCUGGGAAACCGGGUCUAAUACUGGAUAUGACUCCAUGACGCAUGUUGUGGGGUGGAAAGCCUUGUGCGGCUGAGGAUGGGCCCGCGGCCUAUCAGCUUGUUGGUGGGGUGAGGCCUACCAAGGCGACGACGGGUAGCCGGCCUGAGAGGGCGACCGGCCACACUGGGACUGAGACACGGCCCAGACUCCUACGGGAGGCAGCAGUGGGGAAUCUUGCGCAAUGGGCGAAAGCCUGACGCAGCGACGCCGCGUGAGGGAUGACGGCCUCGG
RNAcentral lists this ribosomal RNA (393 nucleotides) under uncultured bacterium. RNAcentral's name for it is "bacterial SSU rRNA". It matches the Rfam family "Bacterial small subunit ribosomal RNA", at positions 28 to 420 of the family's 1533-position model. The record is from RNAcentral.